AACUCGGAGGAAGGUGGGGACGACGUCAAGUCAUCAUGCCCCUUACGUCCAGGGCUGCACACAUGCUACAAUGGCCGGUACAACGGGCUGCUAUCCCGCGAGGGGGAGCCAAUCCCAAAAGCCGGUCUCAGUUCGGAUCGCAGUCUGCAACUCGACUGCGUGAAGUCGGAGUCGCUAGUAAUCCCGGAUUAGCAUCGCCGGGGUGAAUACGUUCCCGGGCCUUGUACACCCCGCCCGUCACACCACGAAAGUCGGCAACACCCGAAGCCGGUGGCCCAACCCUUGUGGAGGGAGCCGUCGAAGGUGGGGUC
Molecule: ribosomal RNA, 311 nt
Filed under: uncultured Aciditerrimonas sp.
Lineage: Bacteria; Bacillati; Actinomycetota; Acidimicrobiia; Acidimicrobiales; Acidimicrobiaceae
Description: bacterial SSU rRNA
Rfam family: Bacterial small subunit ribosomal RNA
Source: RNAcentral